AUAAUGUAAACACGAGCAAUAUGUAUGUAGCCUCCUUAACUCUCUCUAACGAACUCCACCACCUCAGACGGGCGGGCAGUGCUGAGGCUGGAGGCUGUCAUCUAGGACAAGCAUUAUUAUCAUUAGCCGCACGUUUCCUUAUCUCCCAGCGAUCUGUCUGAUUUAUUCCGUCCUUCGUUAUCAAGGAUACAAUUUUACUAUUGUACCAGUACUGUACAAUGAUCUGCUCUUAAUAAGCACCCAAUGGCGCUCCUCUCUCCAGGCUCCCCGGAUUUUGCAAACACCAAGGCGGGAAAGUCUUAUUUUGUGGGCAGCAAGCGAUAUAUCUUCUAUAAUGAAUGUCAAACGGGCGUCCCAGCUAGCUGGUAACAACGACUCACAACAGAAUUACCUCAGCCAUCUCAGAUCUAACAAGACAACAACAAUGGGGCCGGGGACGAGUCCAGCUAGCGCUCUAAAGUAAGCUGUCAGUGGCUUGAGCGGCGACGCCAGUAUCUGGAAGCGCUCCAGUGCGCUCGAGCCUUGAGAUUUUACCGGUGCUGUGUGACGUUAGGGGAGGUCUGUUUCGCGCAGGGUCCCAAUACGGCAUGUGAGCGCUGCGCCACCAAGAGUGUGAAGCGUAGCGAUACUAGUAGUCGCCGCGCCUCUUGUGCGGAUGAUAUAUCAGAGGUAGUGAAUGUUCGUGUUUGUGUCUGUUGUGAAAAGAUCGCCCGGCUGGCUGAAGUGAUUAGGGAUCUGUGGUUCCUCCAUCCACUGGGACUGUUGCGCCUAGCGACAUGCCCUCGGCUCCAUCUCCUUUCCUUUCGGCUGGCGCUUCGCAUUUCGCUGGGUCGUUUCUAUCCUCUGCGGCGCCGUCUAUCUGUUGACGCCCCAGCCGCGUCGAUGGUGCCCACGCCGUCUACCAGUACGCGAUCGACGUUUGCUACUCUGCAAAUCUCAUUCUAUCUUUGCGUCAAACGGGCGGAAAGGUGCGCCCGGGAGGCUGUGGUUGCGCGUAAAUAAUAAUCAGGUGGCUCGAAGAUUGGCGCCUGUGCCAGGAGCCUUUUAACCAAUGAAUUGAUGCUUUGCCUUCGUUGUGUGAGUGUACGGUGUAGUGCUAAGGGUCGUUCGGUGCAGGAGUUGGGUAUUACGUACGGGAUAGGAGGAGCGAGGAGGAAGAGAGUUGUAAUGCGGAUUAGAAUUAGGAUUGUUAUAGGACUCUCAUGCAACGAACGAGGAACGUUGUCGGAAGGAGCGAAGCUUAUAGAUAGCUCAUUAGAGCACCAUCAACAGCGAGCCAUAAGGCUACACCCAGUACUACUAGGCAGACCUCACAUAGCUAUUCACCCUACAUAGUUACACCUAUACCCCGGUACCUACUAGUGUAUGUCAGCCUAC
Molecule: small RNA, 1377 nt
Filed under: Cryptococcus neoformans H99
Lineage: Eukaryota; Fungi; Basidiomycota; Tremellomycetes; Tremellales; Cryptococcaceae
Description: Cryptococcus neoformans var. grubii H99 hypothetical RNA
Source: RNAcentral